CGAUUACUUCAGCGAGGCCUCUUAGAUCUCUGUCUUGCUCAAUUUCUUCCUGAAGCAACCCUCGUGAGUGACCGAAGCCAUGGGUAAAUGAAGCCAGGGUGAAAGCCAUUGCUUACACUCGAGAGAGAUUCGAAGGAUCUCACUACAAGCAUACUUGGGAAAUCACACAAUCAAUAUCCCCUGACCUUAACUUGGCGCCAUUAUCGCAAGAUCACCUAGGCACCCGAAGAGCCUACAUCCGCCUCCGGAGCACUCGGCCCGCAUGCCGCCAGCACAUGCACCAACACUCUGCUUCCACCACCCUUCCAGACGCUUGGCGCCUGCUCGAAAGCCACAUGACCAAAUACCGACGCUGAGCUUUACACCACAUUGCACAUCUGUAAACACCCCUUGACGCUGCGUUCCCCUGCCGAUCGUGCCCCUCAGAGGGCCUUCUACAGCUAGCGACGUCCCGCAAAACAACCCUUUUGUGCGCGUUGUUGUAAGACGUCCGGCUCCAUUCAUGCUGCAACGCAGGGUUGGUCAGAUAAUGACGCUGGCUAAUGGGACGGAGGUCCCCAACCGGCCCCGUGGAAAGUGCCAUGCCAGCGACGGCGGCGGCCGACAAAGUUGGGUCACGUCGCCAUGGCGUCGGCCGCGUCGCCGCACCUUCCAAUCGGCCCGCCGCCGCUGCCAGAAGCGACUGGCGGCGGCUCCAGAACCAACUGCCGCAGCUCCGGUAGAACAGUUGCCUGUCGUGCACACACAUACACACACUCGCGCGUGCCAUAAUUCAAGCUGUGAAAAACCCAAGAGGACAACUCGCAAGGCUUAAAAACAGCAACAAACAGACACACGUCGUAUCGGUCGUAUGCAAGUACGCAUGAAACCCCCCAAACGCUGCCCCUCAACAUGGGGCCACGCAGCCCACUUGGGGAAUUAAGGCUGAGAACAUUACGCCAGUCAAGGGAGCUGCGGCGGGCGAGGGUGUAGCGUUACGACAAGUCUCAGGGUGGCGGGUUUUUCGGACCUUAAUAGAGGAUCUAUUUCACUUUUGUAAUAAUCGCCGGUGGCGCCUUCCGCUGCCGAAACGGCGGAAACGGUCACCAGUGAUUGAAGCCAAGCCAAAGCAAUUAAAUGACGGCAGUAGCAACAGGAUUAAGUAAGGUAGGAAAGAAAAGGAGAAGAAAGACGCAGCGGCCUGGAACACACGCCUUAGAUUCAGCAGUCACCCACUUGUGGAUGGUCCAGCUGCUUGAGCUGCGAAACCAAAACCGAUACUUGCUGGUAGAGCCGUUCCAAGGGGGAGGUGGCGGGAAGGCCGCGGCAUGCCAACAUGGCGCCAUUUAACUCCUCCGCUAGCGCAAUCUGUCCACACAGCAUCAGGAGUAGCA
This 1373-nucleotide long non-coding RNA is filed under the name Volvox carteri. RNAcentral describes it as "long non-coding RNA (VCAR_LNC002125)". Lineage: Eukaryota; Viridiplantae; Chlorophyta; Chlorophyceae; Chlamydomonadales; Volvocaceae. The record is from RNAcentral.